This 169-nucleotide ribosomal RNA is filed under the name uncultured bacterium. RNAcentral's name for it is "partial 16S ribosomal RNA". It matches the Rfam family "Bacterial small subunit ribosomal RNA", at positions 1332 to 1500 of the family's 1533-position model. The record is from RNAcentral.
UCGCUAGUAAUCGCGAAUCAGAAUGUCGCGGUGAAUACGUUCCCGGGUCUUGUACACACCGCCCGUCACACCAUGGGAGUCGGAAAUGCCCGAAGUCAGUGACCCAACCGCAAGGAGGGAGCUGCCGAAGGUGGAGCCGGUAACUGGGGUGAAGUCGUAACAAGGUACC